CACGUAGGGGGCGAGCGUUGUUCGGAAUUACUGGGCGUAAAGGGCAUGUAGGCGGUCUUGUAAGCUUGGCGUGAAAGACCACGGCUCAACCGUGGGAUUGCGUUGAGAACUGCGAGGCUUGAGUGACGGAGAGGGAGCUAGAAUUCCUGGUGUAGGGGUGGAAUCUGUAGAGAUCAGGAAGAAUACCAAUGGCGAAGGCAAGCUCCUGGCCGAUGACUGACGCUGAGGUGCGAAAGUGUGGGGAUCAAACAGG
Molecule: ribosomal RNA, 253 nt
Filed under: uncultured bacterium
Lineage: Bacteria
Also listed under: 1 other name
Description: partial 16S ribosomal RNA
Rfam family: Bacterial small subunit ribosomal RNA
Source: RNAcentral